Molecule: long non-coding RNA, 544 nt
Organism: Magnolia sinica
Lineage: Eukaryota; Viridiplantae; Streptophyta; Magnoliopsida; Magnoliales; Magnoliaceae
Exons: 3
Source: RefSeq, a predicted model, not a curated record
AGGACUGGAGCCUGGAGCUGUUGAUGUGUUUCUUGAUUUCAUUUGCUACUUAGGUGGUCCUCUACCUGACGAACUGCUCACCCAAGUUAAGGGAGUUCAUGUUUCAGAGGACUUUGUUGCUGAGCAAUUGAGGUCCAUGCUUUCUGAUAUGUAGGUUGAUGUGGUUGCAGUCAAACACGACAUUGAGCAUGCAACAAGAAAAUAGAUUGAAGCAGAUGGGUGCGACAGUGAGGAACAUUUGUUUGUAACUAGAAAGACUGAAGAUGAAUGAGCAGAAAGAAAUGUUAGCAAAGAUUGCGGUGGGGAAAUGCCUAUAGAGCAGUUAUCUGAUCUGCUCUCAAGAUCUGCAGCACAAGGCAGCUCUCAAACUUGCGUGGACAGCAACAGGAAGCAGAACUUUGCAUAGUGUUAUUCAUGUCUAUUUUGUUGGUUUAAAUAGACGGUUAACUAUUUGUUGGUACUGUGUUUUUAUGCUUAGUGUUAUUUGGGCCUGUAGUAUUUUGAAAUUUUUAAAUAGACAGUUAACUGCUUUGUUGGUAUUGUA